RNAcentral lists this ribosomal RNA (1477 nucleotides) under uncultured Bordetella sp. RNAcentral describes it as "partial 16S-23S ribosomal RNA intergenic spacer". It matches the Rfam family "Bacterial small subunit ribosomal RNA". The record is from RNAcentral. Lineage: Bacteria; Pseudomonadati; Pseudomonadota; Betaproteobacteria; Burkholderiales; Alcaligenaceae.
GAGUUCGAUCCUGGCUCAGAUUGAACGCUGGCGGGAUGCUUACACAUGCAAGUCGAACGGCAGCACGGACUUCGGUCUGGUGGCGAGUGGCGAACGGGUGAGUAAUGUAUCCGGAACGUGCCUAGCGUGGCGGGGGAUAACUACUGAAAGCGUAGCUAAUACCGCAUACGCCCUUCGGGGAAGCGAAGGCCUUCCGGGCCUCGCACUAUUAGAAGCGGCCGAUAUCGGAUUAGCUAGUUGGUGGGGUAACAGCUCACCAAGGCGACGAUCCGUAGCUGGUUUGAGAGGACGACCAGCCACACUGGGACUGAGACACGGCCCAGACUCCUACGGGAGGCAACAGUGGGGAAUUUUGGACAAUGGGGGAAACCUGAUCCAGCCAUCCCGCGUGUGCGAUGAAGGCCUUCGGGUUGUAAGCACUUUUGGCAGGAAAGAAACGGCACGGGAUAAUACCCCGUGCAACUGACAGUACCUGCAGAAUAAGCACCGGCUAACUACGUGCCAGCAGCCGCGGUAAUACAUAGGGUGCAAGCGUUAAUCGGAAUUACUGGGCGUAAAGCGUGCGCAGGCAGGUUCCGGAAAGAAAGAUGUGAAAUCCCAGAGCUUAACUUUGGAACUGCAUUUUUAACUACCGAGCUAGAGUGUGUCAGAGAGUGGAAUUCCGCGUGUAGCAGUGAAAUGCGUAGAUAUGCGGAGGAACACCGAUGGCGAAGGCAGCCUCCUGGGAUAACACUGACGCUCAUGCACACGAAAGCGUGGGAGCAAACGAAGUUAGAUACCCUGGUAGUCCACGCCCUAAACGAUGUCAACUAGCUGUUGGGGCCUUCGGGCCUUGGUAGCGCAGCUAACGCGUGAAGUUGACCGCCUGGGGAGUACGGUCGCAAGAUUAAAACUCAAAGGAAUUGACGGGGACCCGCACAAGCGGUGGAUGAUGUGGAUUAAUUCGAUGCAACGAAAAACCUUACCUACCCUUGACAUGUCUGGAAUCCCGAAGAGAUUUGGGAGUGCUCGCAGAGAACCGGAACACAGGUGCUGCAUGGCUGUCGUCGGCUCGUGUCGUGAGAUGUUGGGUUAAGUCCACCAACGAGCGCAACCCUUGUCAUUAGUUGCUGAAAGGGCACUCUAAUGAGACUGCCGGUAUUGACAAACCGGAGGAAGGUGGGGAUGACGUCAAGUCCUCAUGGCCCUUAUGGGUAGGGCUUGCGUCAUACAAUGGUCGGGACAGAGGUCGCCAACCCGCGAGGGGAGCCAAUCCCAGAAACCCGAUCGUAGUCGGAUCAUGAUCUGCAGCUCGACUGCGUGAAGUCUGAAUCGCUAGUAAUCGCGGAUCAGCAUGUCGCGGUGAAUACGUUCCCGGGUCUUGUACACACCGCCCGUCACACCAUAGAGGAGUGGGUUUUGCCAAGUAGUUAGCCUAACCGUAAGGAGGCGAUUACUACGGUAGGAUUCAUGACUGGUCAAGUCGUAACAAAGGUAA